UACGUAGGGUGCAAGCGUUAAUCGGAAUUACUGGGCGUAAAGCGUGCGCAGGCGGUUUUGUAAGACUGUCGUGAAAUCCCCGGGCUUAACCUGGGAAUGGCGAUGGUGACUGCAAGGCUAGAGUUUGGCAGAGGGGGGUAGAAUUCCACGUGUAGCAGUGAAAUGCGUAGAGAUGUGGAGGAACACCGAUGGCGAAGGCAGCCCCUGGGUCAAGACUGACGCUCAUGCACG
RNAcentral lists this ribosomal RNA (231 nucleotides) under uncultured bacterium. Its description in RNAcentral is "partial 16S ribosomal RNA". It matches the Rfam family "Bacterial small subunit ribosomal RNA", at positions 524 to 755 of the family's 1533-position model. The record is from RNAcentral.